GCCGAUGUACAAAAUGUGAAGGACGCUAUUUGCUCAGCAGUUGAUGUGAUGCAAGCCAUGGCAUCCUCAAUAUGCUUAUUAACCUCAAAGGAUGGCGAAGUGAAUUCCUUGGUGGGCGAAGUUUCAACAGUAACAGCAAAGGAGCGUGCUCUGCUUGGUCAUUGCAAAGAUUUAUUAUCAACAGUUGCAGCUUUGUAGAUUAUUGCAGAUGGUAUAUUUGGAAGAGUGGUCGGUUCUAGAUUGGGACUAUACUUGUUCAUUGUCUAGGUCCUUUGAAGCUUUGAAGGCUAGCACUCUCCGUCUUCUAGUUGUUGCAGGGGCAAGGGUAUAUGUGACAGACUUUUUCUUGAAUUGUUUCUCAUUGUCACCCUGCUACACCCCGUUUUUAUCAUCAGUUCAUUUGCCCAGAAGUUUGACAUAGUUAAAGCUUUCAUUAUCGCUUGCUGCAAGCCGAUGUACAAAAUGUGAAGGACGCUAUUUGCUCAGCAGUUGAUGUGAUGCAAGCCAUGGCAUCCUCAAUAUGCUUAUUAACCUCAAAGGAUGGCGAAGUGAAUUCCUUGGUGGGCGAAGUUUCAACAGUAACAGCAAAGGAGCGUGCUCUGCUUGGUCAUUGCAAAGAUUUAUUAUCAACUGUUAGGUUUUAUGCCCUAAAUAAAACUCUUUACAAUCUGAUUAGUUAUCAAUAUAAGAAAUUUGAAGUGAUUGAUGUUUGCAUGAAUUUUACAUGCUAAUGGUUUAAUAUGUUUAAUAUGUUUAUUACAUUCAUACACACAAGAUCAGUUAAAUCCAGAUCAUAUGUUUAUUCACAAUUACAGUAUCGUCAACACAGUGGAAUGUGUUUGUGAUCAUAUGAAUCAAAAGUUUUGGUCCCUGUUUCAUCAGUGUUAUUGGAUUUACACUAAUGUGAUAAUCAGCGAUGAUGUGUACUUACACUUGGAGUAAGUGUUAUGUUCUUUCCAGGA
Long non-coding RNA from Cannabis sativa, 962 nucleotides. RefSeq lists it as uncharacterized. Lineage: Eukaryota; Viridiplantae; Streptophyta; Magnoliopsida; Rosales; Cannabaceae. The transcript is spliced from 4 exons. The record is from RefSeq and is a predicted model, not a curated record.